This 497-nucleotide ribosomal RNA is filed under the name uncultured bacterium. Its description in RNAcentral is "partial 16S ribosomal RNA". It matches the Rfam family "Bacterial small subunit ribosomal RNA", at positions 28 to 507 of the family's 1533-position model. The record is from RNAcentral.
GAUGAACGCUGGCGGCGUGCCUAAUACAUGCAAGUCGAGCGAACAGACGAGGAGCUUGCUCCUCUUACGUUAGCGGCGGACGGGUGAGUAACACGUGGAUAACCUACCUAUAAGACUGGGAUAACUUCGGGAAACCGGAGCUAAUACCGGAUAAUAUAUUGAACCGCAUGGUUCAAUAGUGAAAGACGGUUUUGCUGUCACUUAUAGAUGGAUCCGCGCCGCAUUAGCUAGUUGGUAAGGUAACGGCUUACCAAGGCGACGAUGCGUAGCCGACCUGAGAGGGUGAUCAGCCACACUGGAACUGAGACACGGUCCAGACUCCUACGGGAGGCAGCAGUAGGGAAUAUUCCGCAAUGGGCGAAAGCCUGACGGAGCAACGCCGCGUGAGUGAUGAAGGUCUUCGGAUCGUAAAACUCUGUUAUUAGGGAAGAACAAAUGUGUAAGUAACUAUGCACGUCUUGACGGUACCUAAACAGAAAGCAACGGCUAACUACGUG